GACGAACGCUGGCGGCGUGCUUAACACAUGCAAGUCGAACGGAAAGGCCCUGCUUUUGUUGGGUGCUCGAGUGGCGAACGUGUGAGUAACACGUGAGUAACCUGCCCUUUGCUUUGGGAUAACUUCAGGAAACUGGUGCUAAUACCGGAUAUGAGCUCCUGCUCCAUGGGGGGUUUUGGAAAGUUUCGGCGGUUGGGGAUGGACUUCUGGCUUAUCAUCUUGUUGGUGGGGGAGUGGUUUACCAAGGCCUUGACGGGUAGUCGGCCUGGGAGGGUGACGGGGCACAUUGGGACUGAGAUACGGCCCAGAGUCGUACUGGGGGCAGCAGUGGGAAAUAUUGCACAAUGGGCGGAAGCCGGAGGCAGCAACGCCGCGUGCGGGAUGACGGCAUUCGGGUUGUAAAACGCUUUAGCCUGUGACGAAGCGUGAGUGACGGUAAUGGGUAAAGAAGCACCGGCUAACUACGUG
Molecule: ribosomal RNA, 468 nt
Filed under: uncultured bacterium
Lineage: Bacteria
Description: partial 16S ribosomal RNA
Rfam family: Bacterial small subunit ribosomal RNA
Source: RNAcentral